AGCGAACGCUGGCGGCAGGCCUAACACAUGCAAGUCGAACGAACUCUUCGGAGUUAGUGGCGGACGGGUGAGUAACACGUGGGAACGUGCCUUUAGGUUCGGAAUAACUCAGGGAAACUUGUGCUAAUACCGAAUGUGCCCUUCGGGGGAAAGAUUUAUCGCCUUUAGAGCGGCCCGCGUCUGAUUAGCUAGUUGGUGAGGUAAAGGCUCACCAAGGCGACGAUCAGUAGCUGGUCUGAGAGGAUGAUCAGCCACAUUGGGACUGAGACACGGCCCAAACUCCUACGGGAGGCAGCAGUGGGGACUCUUGCGCAAUGGGCGAAAGCCUGACGCAGCCAUGCCGCGUGAAUGAUGAAGGUCUUAGGAUUGUAAAAUUCUUUCACCGGGGACGAUAAUGACGGUACCCUGAGAAGAAGCCCCGGCUAACUUCGUG
This 433-nucleotide ribosomal RNA is filed under the name uncultured bacterium. RNAcentral describes it as "partial 16S ribosomal RNA". It matches the Rfam family "Bacterial small subunit ribosomal RNA", at positions 29 to 507 of the family's 1533-position model. The record is from RNAcentral.